RNAcentral lists this ribosomal RNA (163 nucleotides) under uncultured bacterium. Its description in RNAcentral is "partial 16S rRNA". It matches the Rfam family "Bacterial small subunit ribosomal RNA", at positions 355 to 511 of the family's 1533-position model. The record is from RNAcentral.
UAGGGAAUCUUCCACAAUGGGCGAAAGCCUGAUGGAGCAACGCCGCGUGUGUGAUGAAGGGUUUCGGCUCGUAAAACACUGUUGUAAGAGAAGAAUGACAUUGAGAGUAACUGUUCAAUGUGUGACGGUAUCUUACCAGAAAGGAACGGCUAAUACGUGCCAC